Molecule: ribosomal RNA, 435 nt
Filed under: uncultured bacterium
Lineage: Bacteria
Description: partial 16S ribosomal RNA
Rfam family: Bacterial small subunit ribosomal RNA
Source: RNAcentral
AGCGAACGCUGGCGGCAGGCUUAACACAUGCAAGUCGAGCGGGCACUUUCGGGUGUCAGCGGCGGACGGGUGAGUAACGCGUGGGAACGUGCCCUCUGGUUCGGAAUAACUCAGGGAAACUUGAGCUAAUACCGGAUACGCCCUUUUGGGGAAAGGCUUGCUGCCGGAGGAUCGGCCCGCGUCUGAUUAGCUAGUUGGUGAGGUAACGGCUCACCAAGGCGACGAUCAGUAGCUGGCCUGAGAGGAUGACCAGCCACACUGGGACUGAGACACGGCCCAGACUCCUACGGGAGGCAGCAGUGGGGAAUAUUGGACAAUGGGCGCAAGCCUGAUCCAGCCAUGCCGCGUGAGUGAUGAAGGCCUUAGGGUUGUAAAGCUCUUUUAUCCGGGACGAUAAUGACGGUACCGGAGGAAUAAGCCCCGGCUAACUUCGUG